This 398-nucleotide ribosomal RNA is filed under the name Craugastor podiciferus (Cerro Utyum robber frog). Its description in RNAcentral is "partial 16S ribosomal RNA". It matches the Rfam family "Bacterial large subunit ribosomal RNA", at positions 1946 to 2531 of the family's 2925-position model. The record is from RNAcentral. Lineage: Eukaryota; Metazoa; Chordata; Amphibia; Anura; Craugastoridae.
CCGUGCAAAGGUAGCACAAUCACUUGUCUCUUAAAUCGAGACCUGUAUGAAUGACAUCACGAGGAUUUAACUGUCUCCCUUCACCAAUCAGUGAAACUAAUCUCCCUGUGAAAAAGCAGGGCUACUCAUACAAGACGAGAAGACCCUAUGGAGCUUUAAACUAGUAACACUUGCUCACUUUCCCAUGAUAUUCAGCAUAAUGCUUAUACGUUUUCGGUUGGGGUGACCCUGGAGAAAAACCUAACCUCCAGGCUGUUAAAUAUAAGAACCUCAAUUCUACAAUCAACAUAUUGACACAAUUGACCCAAACAUUUGACCAACGAACCAAGUUACCCUAGGGAUAACAGCGCCAUCCACUUCAAGAGCACAUAUCAACAAGUGGGCUUACGACCUCGAUG